This 440-nucleotide ribosomal RNA is filed under the name uncultured bacterium. RNAcentral's name for it is "partial 16S ribosomal RNA". It matches the Rfam family "Bacterial small subunit ribosomal RNA", at positions 338 to 795 of the family's 1533-position model. The record is from RNAcentral.
CCUACGGGAGGCAGCAGUGGGGGAUAUUGCACAAUGGGGGAAACCCUGAUGCAGCAACGCCGCGUGUGGGAAGAAGGUUUUCGGAUUGUAAACCACUGUUGUUGGUGAAGAUAAUGACGGUAACCAAAGAAGAAGCCCCGGCUAACUCCGUGCCAGCAGCCGCGGUAAUACGGAGGGUGCCAGCGUUUGUCGGAAUUACUGGGGGGAAAGGGUACGGAGGCGGGCUAGCAAGUCAGAAGGGAAAAGCGAGGGCUGAACCAUGGAAAUGCGUUUGAAACUGUUGUGCUUGAGUGGAGUAGAGGUAGGCGGAAUUCCUGGUGUAGCGGUGAAAUGCGUAGAGAUCAGGAGGAACACCAGUGGCGAAGGCGGCCUACUGGGCUUUAACUGACGCUGAGGCUCGAAAGCGUGGGUAGCAAACAGGAUUAGAUACCCGGGUAGUC